AGUAAAGCAACAGAGAAAGAGAAGCAGCAGUCUUGGGGUCACGUCUGGGGAAGAAGGCUGUCAGCGGUCGGCGUCAUUCAUGACGGUGAAGACACGUCGUGAAACCAGAGGGUCUCUUCAUCGCGUGGGAAGGAAGACGGAGGGCUCAUAUGUGUCUUUAUCAUAGUGUGUCUCGCUGCUGGCACUGGAUUUUUCUAGUUGAAAAGGAAGCCUAGGCAGUUCGUGGAGAAGCUGGGCUGAAAUCAAUCGGAAGGGUAUUCAUAGUAACGUCUCAGAAGGCAAUCGAUUUUGUCGGCGUUGAUGACCUCAGUUUGAAGGUGGCGGAGAUGAGGCAUUUGAUUUGAAGCUGGAGGGUUUCGGUACGGUGGAGAAGAUCGAGGUAGACUCAAGAGAGGAAGGGUGUCGCCAGCAAAUACUCCAUUUGCAAGCCCGGUGGUAGCCAUGGGUGUCGACUAGGGGCACUGACGGAGGCGCUAGCAGAACCUCCAGUAGUGGCUGUCUCAGGGUGGAAGACACGACAGCGGGCCUCCAGUUAGAAAGAAGUCAUGUCGCGCAAGAGAGGAAGGAGAAGAGUGACCGGCAGAGGUCGCGGUGAUCGGUGCCAUUAGGCGAUGCCUUGGACAGCGGCUUGUGGAGGCUGGUAUGGUGGUGGCCGGUCGAGUGGGGGUAGGGUGGCCAUGAGCAGCGGAGGUAUCUCUGGGUUCUUCUUAUCAAAGGAAGAAGAGACUUAGGUCUCUGGCAUUGGGUGCAGAUGAUGAAAUGGUGAAAUGAAGAGGGACCCCUAACGUUUCUGAUUUGGGGCAAAGGGUCUUGGGCCAGUUGGGCUAUUUCCUUUCUUCCCGCCACCGCGCAACUCUAUUUGCACCACCAUUACCUUUCUGUAACCGAGAAAAGAAGCCUUGGGCCGGGUCAGCA
This 915-nucleotide long non-coding RNA is filed under the name Vigna radiata. RNAcentral's name for it is "long non-coding RNA (VRAD_LNC005087)". The record is from RNAcentral. Lineage: Eukaryota; Viridiplantae; Streptophyta; Magnoliopsida; Fabales; Fabaceae.